This 125-nucleotide ribosomal RNA is filed under the name Cladosporium sphaerospermum. RNAcentral describes it as "partial 18S ribosomal RNA". It matches the Rfam family "Eukaryotic small subunit ribosomal RNA", at positions 1708 to 1830 of the family's 1831-position model. Lineage: Eukaryota; Fungi; Ascomycota; Dothideomycetes; Cladosporiales; Cladosporiaceae. The record is from RNAcentral. RNAcentral also lists the same sequence under 4 other names.
CUUCGGACUGGCCCAGGGAGGUCGGCAACGACCACCCAGGGCCGGAAAGUUGGUCAAACCCGGUCAUUUAGAGGAAGUAAAAGUCGUAACAAGGUCUCCGUAGGUGAACCUGCGGAGGGAUCAUU